AGAGUUUGAUCCUGGCUCAGAUUGAACGCUGGCGGUAUGCUUUACACAUGCAAGUCGAACGGAUUAAAGAGCUUGCUCUUUAGUUAGUGGCGAACGGGUCGACUAAUAUAUCGGAACAUAUCCUGAAGUGGGGGAUAACGUAGCGAAAGUUACGCUAAUACCGCAUAUGCCCUGAGGGGGAAAGGGGGGGAUAGCAAGACCUCUCGCUUUCGGAGUGGCCGAUAUCGGAUUAGCUAAUAGGUGAGGUAAAGGCUCACCUAGGCGACGAUCCGUAGCUGGUCAGAGAGGACGACCAGCCACACUGGAACUGAGACACGGUCCAUACUCCGACGGGACGAACAAGUGGGGAAUUUUGGACAAUGGGCGAAAACCUGAGCCAGCCAUACCGCGUGAGUGAAGAAGGCCUUCGGGUUGUAAGGCUCUUUCAGCCGGAAAGAAAUUGCUUCUAUUAAUACUAGGAGUAGAUGACGUACCGAAAAGAAGAAGCACCGCUAAAUUACGUGCAGCCAGCCGCGGUAAUACGUAGGGUGCGAGCGUUAUUCGGAAUUACUGGGCGUAAAGCGUGGCCAGCGGUUUUUUUAAGUCAGAUGUGAAUUUCCCGGGCUUCAACCUGGGAAUUGCAUUGAAAACUGGAAGGAUUAGAGUUUAGCAGAAGGGGGUAGAAUUCCACGUGUAGCAGUGAAAUGGGAGAUAAGGUGAGGAAUACCAAUGGCGAAGGCAGCCCCUUGGUUUAUAUUGACGUCAUGCAGGAAAGCGUGGGAAGCAACCAGGAUUAGAUACCCUGGUAGUUCAUGCCCGUAACGAUGUUAACUAGGUGUUGGGGUAGGAGAGUACUUUAGCAGCGUAGCUAACGCGUGAAGUAGACCGCCUGGGGAGUACGGUCGCAAGAUUAAAACUCAAAGGAAUUGACGGGGACCCGCACAAGCGGUGGAGCAUGUGGAUUAAUUCGAUGCAACGCGAAGAACCUUACCUACCCUUGACAUGUAAGAAAGAUCGCAGAGAUGAGAUGGUGCUUGAAAGAGAAUCUUAGCACAGGUGCAGCAUGGUCGUCAUCAGCUCGUGUCGAGAGAUGGUGGGAGUAGUCCCGCAGAGAGCGCAACCCUUGUCAUUAACCACCAUCAUUAAGCCGGGCACUUUAAGGAGACUGCCAGUGACAAACCGGAGGAAGGUGGGGAUGACGUCAAGUCAUCAUGGCCCUUAUGGGUAGGGCUUCACACGUAAUACAAUGGUGGGUACAGAGGGUUGCCAACUCGCGAGGGGGAGCUAAUCUCAGAAAGCGGGUCGUAGUCCGGAUUGGAGUCUGCAACUCGACUCCAUGAAGUCGGAAUCGCUAGUAAUCGCGGAUCAGCAUGUCGCGGUGAAUACGUUCCCGGGUCUUGUACACACCGCCCGUCACACCAUGGGAGUGGAAUGCACCAGAAGUAGGUAGCCUAACCGUAAGGAGGGCGCUUACCACGGUGGGUCUCAUGACUGGGGUGAAGUCGUAACAAGGUA
This 1494-nucleotide ribosomal RNA is filed under the name uncultured bacterium. RNAcentral's name for it is "bacterial SSU rRNA". It matches the Rfam family "Bacterial small subunit ribosomal RNA". The record is from RNAcentral.